CCUUCCACCGCUUUUACAUUGGUUUAAGCAAUAUCCGAAGAGCUCGCGAUAAACAGGGGAACGGUCUCCAAUGGUGAUAUGUAGCUGCAGCAGAUGAUAUAGCCUGCAUCAUGGAAGAAAAAUGAAUGUAGUCACGGAUUGCAAAAACGAUGUCUAGUCUUGCGUUCAAAUGUAUCAUUGAAUGAAGCCUGCAUUUACUGUAUGAAUUCGAUAUUUACAGCUGAGGCAAUUUAGCUGCUAGCUAGGUCAAGUAAGCUCGAUGCUAAUUCGUUUAUUAGCCAGUGGAUGUUAGGAAUCAGGCUAGCUGACGCUAACUAGCAUGCUAGUUAACCAAUCCCGCCCAUCCAAAAUAAUAGUGGAACUUCGGCGUGUAUCUUCAGCGCGGUUAUCAAUGCCUUUUUGAAGAAAGAAGAAAUAGCUAAGCCAGUUAGCUAUCUAGCAAGCAUAUGAGAAGGUAUUGCAUUGAGAUUUCACCCAAUUUCCUCCACUUGAAGAAAACUGAACUGGCUGAGAUGGAUGAACAAAGUGUUGAGGUGUGGUCCAUUUUGCACAUCAGUACCUGUCAACAGUUUGGACACAUACUCAUUCAAGGGUUUUUCUUUAUUUGCACUAUUUUCUACAGUGUAGAAUAAUAGUGAAGACAUCAACACUGAAAUAACACAUGGAAUCAUAGUAACAAAUAAGUGUCAAACAAAUCAAAAUAGAGUUUAGAUUCUUCAAAGUAGCCACCCUUUGCCUUGAUGACAGCUUUGUGCACUCUUAGCAUUCCCUCAACCAGCUUCAUGAGGGAUGCUUUUCCAACAGUCUUGAAGGAGUUGGCUGCUUUCCUUCACUCUGCGGUCAAACUCAUCCCAAACCAUCUCAAUUGUGUUGAGGUCAGGUGAUUGUGGAGGCCAGCUCAUCUGAUGCAGCACUCCAUCACUCUCCUUCUUGGUCAAAUAGUCCUUACACAGCCUGGAGGUGUGUUGGGUCAUUGUCCUGUUGAAAAGCAAAUGAUACUCCUACUAAGCGCAAACCAGAUGGGAUGGUGUAUUGCUGCAGAAUGCUGUGGUUGCCAUGCUGGUUAAGUGUGCCUGGAAUUCUAAAUAAAUCACUGACUGUGUCACCAGCAAAACACCCCACAUCAUCACACCUCCAUGUUUCACUGUGGGAACCACACAUGUGGAGAUCAUCCGUUAACCUUCUCUGCGUCUCACAAAGACAGCGGUUGGAACCAAAAAUCUCAAAUUUGGACUCAUCAGACCAAAGGACAGAUUUCCACAGGUCUGAUGUCCAUUGCUUGUGUGUCUUGGCCCAAGCAAGUCUCUUCUUCGUAUUGGUGUCCUUUUAGUAGUGAUUAAUUUGCAGUAAUUCUACCAUGAAGGCCUGGUUUCAUG
This 1376-nucleotide long non-coding RNA is filed under the name Salmo salar (Atlantic salmon). Its description in RNAcentral is "lncRNA (ENSSSAG00000116618.1)". Lineage: Eukaryota; Metazoa; Chordata; Actinopteri; Salmoniformes; Salmonidae. The record is from RNAcentral.